Molecule: ribosomal RNA, 465 nt
Filed under: uncultured bacterium
Lineage: Bacteria
Description: partial 16S ribosomal RNA
Rfam family: Bacterial small subunit ribosomal RNA
Source: RNAcentral
CCUACGGGAGGCAGCAGUGGGGAAUCUUGCGCAAUGGGCGAAAGCCUGACGCAGCGACGCCGCGUGAGUGAUGAAGGUCUUCGGAUCGUAAACCUCUGUUAGCAGGGACGAACGGUCACUGUGCUAAUCAGCCGUGAAUUGACGGUACCUGCCAAGGAAGCACCGGCUAACUCCGUGCCAGCAGCCGCGGUAAUACGGAGGGUGCGAGCGUUAAUCGGAAUUACUGGGCGUAAAGCGAUCGUAGGCGGUAUGUCAAGUCAAGGGUGAAAUCCCCGCGCUCAACGUGGGAACUGCCUUGUAAACGGGCAGACUGGAGUGGGUGAGAGGAUAGUGGAAUGCCAGGUGUAGGAGUGAAAUCCGUAGAUAUCUGGAGGAACAUCAGUGGCGAAGGCGACUAUCUGGCACAUAACUGACGCUGAGGAGCGAAAGCGUGGGUAGCAAACAGGAUUAGAUACCCCAGUAGUC